Molecule: long non-coding RNA, 237 nt
Filed under: Linum usitatissimum (flax)
Lineage: Eukaryota; Viridiplantae; Streptophyta; Magnoliopsida; Malpighiales; Linaceae
Description: long non-coding RNA (LUSI_LNC000439)
Source: RNAcentral
GGGGGGUGGGGUUUAUAGGCUCAAGGAGCAUCUUGCGGGACGUAAAGGUGGUGGACCUAUCUGCACGUUGGUUCCUCGCGAAGUUCGCCUCUCGAUGAACCGUUACUUAGAUGGCCGUUUGGGGAAGGUGGGCAAUCAGGAGACUGAAGAAGACGAGAGUAAUUCCGGUUCGGGGUUGGUUCAUAGUCAGAUGCAGUUGUUAGCACAGCCUGUGGUGGAUGGUAAUAACAUUAUUAC